GAGGGUAUAGCUCAGUGGUAGAGCACAUGCUUUGCAUGCAUGAGGUCCUGGGUUCAAUCCCCAGUACCUCCA
RNAcentral lists this transfer RNA (72 nucleotides) under Camelus ferus (Wild Bactrian camel). It matches the Rfam family "tRNA". From Rfam's summary of the family: Transfer RNA (tRNA) molecules are approximately 80 nucleotides in length. Lineage: Eukaryota; Metazoa; Chordata; Mammalia; Artiodactyla; Camelidae. The record is from Rfam by way of RNAcentral.